Molecule: ribosomal RNA, 497 nt
Filed under: uncultured bacterium
Lineage: Bacteria
Description: partial 16S ribosomal RNA
Rfam family: Bacterial small subunit ribosomal RNA
Source: RNAcentral
GACGAACGCUGGCGGCAUGCCUAAUACAUGCAAGUCGAGCGAACAGAUGAAGUGCUUGCACUUCUGACGUUAGCGGCGAACGGGUGAGUAACACGUAAGGAAUCUACCUAUAAGCGGGGGAUAACAUUCGGAAACGGGUGCUAAUACCGCAUAAUAUCUUCUUCCGCAUGGAAGAAGAUUGAAAGACGGCUCUGCUGUCACUUAUAGAUGACCUUGCGGUGCAUUAGUUAGUUGGUGGGGUAACGGCCUACCAAGACGAUGAUGCAUAGCCGACCUGAGAGGGUGAUCGGCCACAUUGGGACUGAGACACGGCCCAAACUCCUACGGGAGGCAGCAGUAGGGAAUCUUCCGCAAUGGGUGAAAGCCUGACGGAGCAAUGCCGCGUGAGUGAAGAAGGCCUUCGGGUCGUAAAACUCUGUUAUAAGAGAAGAACAAAUUGUAGAGUAACUGCUACAGUCUUGACGGUAUCUUAUCAGAAAGCCACGGCUAACUACGUG